CGCUCCCGACCGUUUGCAUUUACAAUUCACCCCCUUUUUUAAAAACGUGGCUUUAGGUCUUACCGGUUGCUUCUGCCCCUGGCCUCCCUUCCCCCCGCCCCUCGCCUCCACGCCUGUUCCCUUUGCCCCGCCGCCCUCCUGUCCUGGCAGACACCCCACGUCUGCAUUUAAUCAGCCCGAGGUUUCCCUGCUGCUGCCAGCAAAGAGCUGCUCAUUGAUUUAUUUAUGCGCAUUUAUGCGUCUGUUAUUGCUCUAGAUCCUUGGUGCCCGGCGGCGGGCUUCUGCUUCCUGCCCCCGGGAAGCCUAGGGUUGCCCUCCGGGCCCCGGAGCCCGGCAGCCCUUGCAGCUCAGCCUGCACUCUGACUGCGGCCUCCGCGAACGGAAAGGUGCCUCUGCCCGGCCAAACCGCUCCGGGGCUGUCGGGCUCCGGGAUCUGGGCGGACACUGUGUCCCCGAGUCAACCGGCAUCGCAGCGUGUUGGGGAGGGGGAGGGGGAUACUAAGCUAAAUGCAACUUUUACCGCUGUUUACUCUCCCUUCCGCUGUCUCCUCCCCUGGACCAGUAACGCGAUCCAUAACCCUCUAGGUGGGGACCCCUCCCCUAGGAAUGUGGCUUUGGGCUCUGCCGAAUCCACCCUUUUACAGUCCGGACUGCGUGCGAACUGGGACUUCCCGGGGCAGGCUUGGCUUAAAGGUAAAUAGCCCUGACAAUUCUGCUCACAAGGAAGGAGCCAAGAGUUUAUCGGAUAUAAGGCAGUUCCCUCCACCGACCCACCAAAGGGGCCAAAAAAAA
Non-coding RNA from Sus scrofa (pig), 792 nucleotides. Lineage: Eukaryota; Metazoa; Chordata; Mammalia; Artiodactyla; Suidae. The record is from RefSeq and is a predicted model, not a curated record.